CAGGGAGACAACAAAAUGUAAAUAUUAAUUUUGUCACCUUAGGUCGAUCGGUAUCUCACAUUCUUAAUUUAUUAAGAAUUUUAUUUCCUAAGUUUUUUCUAGGUCACACCCAUUACUUUCCCUGGGCCAUUAGCUCAGGUGGUUAGAGCGCACCCCUGAUAAGGGUGAGGUCCCUGGUUCAAGUCCAGGAUGGCCCAUCUCUCUAUGUUGGGGGUAUAGCUCAGUUGGUAGAGCGCCUGCUUUGCAAGCAGGAUGUCAGCGGUUCGAGUCCGCUUACCUCCACUGAUUUCCACCUCUUCCAUAUUUUUAGAAGGGAAAAGUUUUGAGUUGUGAUCGAAUUCUGAACGAAUCUAGCUUCCUAAUCAAAUUUAUUAAGAUGCUGGACUCAUUGAAUUAAUUUCAUUGUUUUCAGAGAACCUUGACAACUGCAUAGAUUAUUUUUAAAGACAAUAAGCAUCUUUUAAAGAUGCAGAUUGAUUAUUUGUGCGAAUGCAUCAAUAACAAUUCUAUUAAGCUGAUGCUUCAAUUUUGAAGUUAUU
RNAcentral lists this transfer RNA (539 nucleotides) under uncultured cyanobacterium. Its description in RNAcentral is "partial contains 16S ribosomal RNA, 16S-23S ribosomal RNA intergenic spacer, and 23S ribosomal RNA". The stretch from base 210 to 282 matches the Rfam family "tRNA". The record is from RNAcentral. Lineage: Bacteria; Bacillati; Cyanobacteriota.